Molecule: non-coding RNA, 68 nt
Organism: Zootermopsis nevadensis
Lineage: Eukaryota; Metazoa; Arthropoda; Insecta; Blattodea; Termopsidae
Source: the annotation of a RefSeq genome assembly
UCUAAUAUGGCAGAGAAGUGCAGUGGAUUUAAGCUCCACAAAUAAAGUACUAAAAACUUUUAUUAGAA